Molecule: non-coding RNA, 432 nt
Organism: Pelobates cultripes (western spadefoot toad)
Lineage: Eukaryota; Metazoa; Chordata; Amphibia; Anura; Pelobatidae
Source: the annotation of a GenBank genome assembly
GUCUUCUACUAAUCUGAGUCCCUCUCUCAGGUAGUCCUCCGUUUUCAUAAUGACAAUCCCUCCACCUUUGUCCGCUGGUUUUAUAACCUUAUUUUUAUCUUUCUGUAGUGCUUUCAAGGCUAGCCAUUCCUCUUUACUUAGGUUCAUAUGUUUUUUAUUUUUAGGUUUUAUUUUAUUUAUAUCCUGCAUUACUGCAUUACCGGCGAAAGCACUCUGGAUCCUAUAGUGCCGAAAACCCGGAAGUGACGCAACGGCAUUUUAGCCGCGUCAGAUGACAGAAAAGGACCCAUUCGAUUGGAAGAAGACAUUUUAGGAGGGAUUUUGGACGCUUAAAACACAGAAUACCAAGAGGACACCCACAAGCUGACUGAGGAAGCCGUUGUUACCGGCGAAACGCGUUUUGGCAUUUAAAGUGGACUCAUCAUUUUUGUU